This 75-nucleotide transfer RNA is filed under the name Verrucomicrobiaceae bacterium. RNAcentral's name for it is "tRNA-Asp". It matches the Rfam family "tRNA". Rfam says of the family: Transfer RNA (tRNA) molecules are approximately 80 nucleotides in length. Their secondary structure includes four short double-helical elements and three loops (D, anti-codon, and T loops). The record is from RNAcentral. Lineage: Bacteria; Pseudomonadati; Verrucomicrobiota; Verrucomicrobiia; Verrucomicrobiales; Verrucomicrobiaceae.
GCACACGUAGCUCAGUGGUAGAGUCCCGCACUGUCGAUGCGGUUGUCACGAGUUCGAUCCUCGUCGUGUGCGCCA